UGGGGAAUAUUGGACAAUGGGCGCAAGCCUGAUCCAGCCAUGCCGCGUGAGUGACGAAGGUCUUCGGAUUGUAAAAUCCUUUCGCCGAGGACGAUAAUGACGGUACUCGGAGAAGAAGCUCCGGCUAACUUCGUGCCAGCAGCCGCGGUAAUACGAAGGGGGCUAGCGUUGUUCGGAUUUACUGGGCGUAAAGCGCAUGUAGGCGGGCCGUUAAGUUAGGGGUGAAAUCCCGAGGCUCAACCUCGGAACUGCCUCUAAAACUGGCGGCCUGGACCUAAGUAGAGGCAAGUGGAAUUGCGAGUGUAGAGGUGAAAUUCGUAGAUAUUCGCAGGAACACCAGUGGCGAAGGCGACUUGCUGGACUUAUGGUGACGCUGAGAUGCGAAAGCGUGGGGAGCAAACAGGAUUAGAUACCCCCGUAGUCCCUGAGCGGGCUGGCAAGGCGCAU
Molecule: ribosomal RNA, 447 nt
Filed under: uncultured bacterium
Lineage: Bacteria
Description: bacterial SSU rRNA
Rfam family: Bacterial small subunit ribosomal RNA
Source: RNAcentral